AGCUUUGAGGUUCAUAAAUAUGAUUACUGGAUUUUCAUGCCAAUGUAUAACUUGGGUCUGCCUGGAAGUGUGUUAGGGUGUUGGCACAUUACCUGUCUGGAC
Small nucleolar RNA from Otolemur garnettii (small-eared galago), 102 nucleotides. The record is from Ensembl. Lineage: Eukaryota; Metazoa; Chordata; Mammalia; Primates; Galagidae.